CACUGCCGAGAAAAGCCUCUAGAUAGAAAAUAGGUGCCCGUACCGCAAACCGACACAGGUAGUCAAGAUGAGAAUUCUAAGGUGAGCGAGCGAACUCUCGUUAAGGAACUCGGCAAAAUGACCCCGUAACUUCGGGAGAAGGGGUGCUCUUUAGGGUUAACGCCCAGAAGAGCCGCAGUGAAUAGGCCCAAGCGACUGUUUAUCAAAAACACAGGUCUCUGCUAAACCGUAAGGUGAUGUAUAGGGGCUGACGCCUGCCCGGUGCUGGAAGGUUAAGAGGAGUGGUUAGCUUCUGCGAAGCUACGAAUCGAAGCCCCAGUAAACGGCGGCCGUAACUAUAACGGUCCUAAGGUAGCGAAAUUCCUUGUCGGGUAAGUUCCGACCCGCACGAAAGGCGUAACGAUUUGGGCACUGUCUCAACGAGAGACUCGGUGAAAUCAUAGUACCUGUGAAGAUGCAGGUUACCCGCGACAGGACGGAAAGACCCCGUGGAGCUUUACUGUAGCCUGAUAUUGAAAUUCGGCACAGCUUGUACAGGAUAGGUAGGAGCCUUUGAAACGUGAGCGCUAGCUUACGUGGAGGCGCUGGUGGGAUACUACCCUAGCUGUGUUGGCUUUCUAACCCGCACCACUUAUCGUGGUGGGAGACAGUGUCAGGCGGGCAGUUUGACUGGGGCGGUCGCCUCCUAAAAGGUAACGGAGGCGCUCAAAGGUUCCCUCAGAAUGGUUGGAAAUCAUUCAUAGAGUGUAAAGGCAUAAGGGAGCUUGACUGCGAGACCUACAAGUCGAGCAGGGUCGAAAGACGGACUUAGUGAUCCGGUGGUUCCGCAUGGAAGGGCCAUCGCUCAACGGAUAAAAGCUACCCCGGGGAUAACAGGCUUAUCUCCCCCAAGAGUUCACAUCGACGGGGAGGUUUGGCACCUCGAUGUCGGCUCAUCGCAUCCUGGGGCUGUAGUCGGUCCCAAGGGUUGGGCUGUUCGCCCAUUAAAGCGGUACG
Molecule: ribosomal RNA, 996 nt
Filed under: Staphylococcus aureus
Lineage: Bacteria; Bacillati; Bacillota; Bacilli; Caryophanales; Staphylococcaceae
Description: partial 23S ribosomal RNA
Rfam family: Bacterial large subunit ribosomal RNA
Source: RNAcentral